This 255-nucleotide ribosomal RNA is filed under the name uncultured bacterium. RNAcentral describes it as "partial 16S ribosomal RNA". It matches the Rfam family "Bacterial small subunit ribosomal RNA", at positions 333 to 605 of the family's 1533-position model. The record is from RNAcentral.
GUGAUCCUACGGGGGGCAGCAGUGGGGGAUAUUGCACAAUGGGGGAAACCCUGAUGCAGCGACGCCGCGUGGGUGAAGAAGCGCCUCGGCGCGUAAAGCCCUGUCAGCAGGGAAGAAAAUGACGGUACCUGAAGAAGAAGCCCCGGCUAACUACGUGCCAGCAGCCGCGGUAAUACGUAGGGGGCAAGCGUUAUCCGGAUUUACUGGGUGUAAAGGGGGCGCAGACGGCGAUGCAAGCAAGGAGUGAAAGAGCGG